Long non-coding RNA from Salvia miltiorrhiza (redroot sage), 555 nucleotides. RefSeq lists it as uncharacterized. The transcript has 3 exons. The record is from RefSeq and is a predicted model, not a curated record. NCBI's taxonomy places the organism in Eukaryota, Viridiplantae, Streptophyta, Magnoliopsida, Lamiales, Lamiaceae.
UAAAAGGCUAAUCUAACUAGCCAACUCAUUCCUCCACACUUUAAGCUCACAAGCACAUGCACACCUCUCUCUCAUCUCCCUCCCUCUCUUAUUCUUCUUUAUUUUCAGCAGCCCUCCUCCUCCUCCUCACUCCACCACACUUCUUUUUCUUGUUCCACCAAAUAUAGUAAGAACUAAGGUUUCUUAAAGUGUUCAUCUUCAAGCUCAAGCUCCAAGCAUACUACGCAUCAUCUUCUACUCCACCUCCAUUGAUCUUGUUGGUUCGAGUGACGGCCGGCGUUAGUACGACUCUGAGCAUUACGUCAUCGACCCCUGAGACAGGUCUGGCUUGGCGCGAGGAUGGGUGAAAGCUGUUGGAAUUGUCAGUUGGCUGUGUCUUUCCUAUGUCUCAUAUUUAUCUUUAUAAGCUUUGACUCUAUAAGAAUUUGAACUCCCUGCUAUAUGUCUUCACACAUAUAGUAACGCAUCUCGCUGCAUAACUCUGAUGAAACUCUUUAUUUAAUUUGCUUAUGCCUGUAAUAUCCCAUAAGGGAAAUACUUCUCAGACCCUUGCUA